CCGCGACCCCAUGUCAGGCGGGACUA
This 26-nucleotide ribosomal RNA is filed under the name Musschia wollastonii. Its description in RNAcentral is "partial 28S ribosomal RNA". Lineage: Eukaryota; Viridiplantae; Streptophyta; Magnoliopsida; Asterales; Campanulaceae. The record is from RNAcentral.